RNAcentral lists this long non-coding RNA (230 nucleotides) under Elaeis guineensis (African oil palm). RNAcentral describes it as "long non-coding RNA (EGUI_LNC053974)". The record is from RNAcentral. Lineage: Eukaryota; Viridiplantae; Streptophyta; Magnoliopsida; Arecales; Arecaceae.
AUCAGAUGGAUUUGAUAUUUUGAAAUACAAUAUGGACAACCUGAUCAAAGUUGACAGUUGAACUCUGGGGUAUCCUAUGAUCAUUUUGGUCAAGGAGAUGAAUUAUAUGAAAACUAUAUCCACAUGGGUUCUAAGGAUGUUGUUCUACACAUUCGACCUAUCCGAUCGUCGGAUACCAUUGCUAGAUGGUCACUUCGAUUGGUACAUGAAUUUAUUUCUGUACUACCAGC